AGAGUUCGAUUAUGGCUCAGGACGAACGCUGGCGGCGUGCCUAACACAUGCAAGUCGAGCGGAGACAGUGAGUAGCUUGCUAUGAGCUGUUUUAGCGGCGGACGGGUGAGUAACGCGUGAGCAACCUUUCCCAGACAGGGGAAUAACACACCGAAAGGUGUACUAAUACCGCAUAAGACCACGGGAUCACAUGGUUCUGAGGUAAAAGAUUUAUCGGUUUGGGGUGGGCUCGCGUCCGAUUAGGUAGUUGGUGAGGUAACGGCCCACCAAGCCGACGAUCGGUAGCCGACCUGAGAGGGUGAUCGGCCACAUUGGGACUGAGACACGGCCCAA
RNAcentral lists this ribosomal RNA (333 nucleotides) under uncultured bacterium. RNAcentral describes it as "bacterial SSU rRNA". It matches the Rfam family "Bacterial small subunit ribosomal RNA", at positions 8 to 334 of the family's 1533-position model. The record is from RNAcentral.